This 516-nucleotide ribosomal RNA is filed under the name uncultured Streptomyces sp. Its description in RNAcentral is "bacterial SSU rRNA". It matches the Rfam family "Bacterial small subunit ribosomal RNA", at positions 144 to 673 of the family's 1533-position model. Lineage: Bacteria; Bacillati; Actinomycetota; Actinomycetes; Kitasatosporales; Streptomycetaceae. The record is from RNAcentral.
CAAGCCCUGGAAACGGGGUCUAAUACCGGAUAUGACGCACGACCGCAUGGUCUGUGUGUGGAAAGCUCCGGCGGUGCAGGAUGAGCCCGCGGCCUAUCAGCUUGUUGGUGGGGUAGUGGCCUACCAAGGCGACGACGGGUAGCCGGCCUGAGAGGGCGACCGGCCACACUGGGACUGAGACACGGCCCAGACUCCUACGGGAGGCAGCAGUGGGGAAUAUUGCACAAUGGGCGAAAGCCUGAUGCAGCGACGCCGCGUGAGGGAUGACGGCCUUCGGGUUGUAAACCUCUUUCAGCAGGGAAGAAGCGAGAGUGACGGUACCUGCAGAAGAAGCACCGGCUAACUACGUGCCAGCAGCCGCGGUAAUACGUAGGGUGCGAGCGUUGUCCGGAAUUAUUGGGCGUAAAGAGCUCGUAGGCGGCUUGUCACGUCGGUUGUGAAAGCCCGGGGCUUAACCCCGGGCCUGCAGUCGAUACGGGCAGGCUAGAGUUCGGUAGGGGAGAUCGGAAUUCCUGG